ACGCUGGCGGUAGGCUUAACACAUGCAAGUCGUGCGAGAAAGUAUCUUCGGAUAUGAGUAGAGCGGCGGACGGGUGAGUAACGCGUAGGAAUCUACCUAGUAGAAGGGGAUAGCCCGGGGAAACUCGGAUUAAUACCGUAUACCUCCUUUGGGAGAAAGAAGGCCUCUCUUUGAAGCUUUCGCUACUAGAUGAGCCUGCGUAAGAUUAGCUUGUUGGUGAGGUAAAGGCUCACCAAGGCAACGAUCUUUAGCGGGUCUGAGAGGACGAUCCGCCACAUUGGGACUGAGACACGGCCCAGACUCCUACGGGAGGCAGCAGUGGGGAAUAUUGGACAAUGGGCGCAAGCCUGAUCCAGCCAUACCGCGUGUGUGAAGAAGGCCCUAGGGUUGUAAAGCACUUUAAGUUGGGAAGAAAAGUUAUUGGUUAAUACCCAAUAACCGUGACAUUACCUUCAGAAUAAGGACCGGCUAAUUCCGUGCCAGCAGCCGCGGUAAUACGGAAGGUCCAAGCGUUAAUCGGAAUUACUGGGCGUAAAGCGCGCGUAGGUGGUUUAUUAAGUUGGAUGUGAAAUCCCCGGGCUCAACCUGGGAACUGCAUCCAAAACUGAUUCACUAGAGUACGAUAGAGGGAGGUAGAAUUCACAGUGUAGCGGUGGAAUGCGUAGAUAUUGUGAAGAAUACCAAUGGCGAAGGCAGCCUCCUGGAUCUGUACUGACACUAAGGUGCGAAAGCGUGGGUAGCGAACAGGAUUAGAUACCCUGGUAGUCCACGCCGUAAACGAUGUCAACUAGCUGUUGGGAAACAAUGUUUUUCAGUGGCGCAGCUAACGUAGUAAGUUGACCGCCUGGGGAGUACGG
This 857-nucleotide ribosomal RNA is filed under the name uncultured Gammaproteobacteria bacterium. RNAcentral describes it as "bacterial SSU rRNA". It matches the Rfam family "Bacterial small subunit ribosomal RNA", at positions 33 to 885 of the family's 1533-position model. Lineage: Bacteria; Pseudomonadati; Pseudomonadota; Gammaproteobacteria. The record is from RNAcentral.